AAUGAGGAAGCUGCUGGCAACAAGAGGAAGCUGGACAUCGCUGGGUUCGACGACCCAUCUGAUUCUGACGAUGAUGAGGAGUACAACUCUGGAGAUGAGGUGGAAGAGUGGAACCACAGGUCCUUCAUUGAGCAUGAAGCCAUGAAGAUCAGGGAGAAGGGGAAGGCGGCGUACUUCAAGUGGGGCAAUUUCAGGUGCCCAUACUGCACCACUAAGCCAAUUCCCAAGGAUGGGAUGUAUGAGCACCUUAUGGCACAUGCACGCGGUUUAACCACGAGUGGGAGCGACGUGAAGAUCAGGGCAGAGCAUGCAGCCCUCCUGAAGGCUAUGGGUCCCAUCUAG
RNAcentral lists this ribosomal RNA (342 nucleotides) under Triticum aestivum (bread wheat). RNAcentral describes it as "partial small subunit ribosomal RNA". Lineage: Eukaryota; Viridiplantae; Streptophyta; Magnoliopsida; Poales; Poaceae. The record is from RNAcentral.